RNAcentral lists this ribosomal RNA (627 nucleotides) under uncultured Methanomicrobiaceae archaeon. RNAcentral describes it as "bacterial SSU rRNA". It matches the Rfam family "Archaeal small subunit ribosomal RNA", at positions 384 to 1015 of the family's 1478-position model. Lineage: Archaea; Methanobacteriati; Methanobacteriota; Methanomicrobia; Methanomicrobiales; Methanomicrobiaceae. The record is from RNAcentral.
AGUGCCCGUCGUAUCGGGCUGCAUCUCUGUUUAAAUAACAGGUGAAGAAAGGGCCGGGCAAGACCGGUGCCAGCCGCCGCGGUAAUACCGGCGGCUCGAGUGGUGGCCACUAUUACUGGGCUUAAAGCGUUCGUAGUGGGACGGAUAAGUCUCUGGGGAAAUCUACUGGCUUAACCAAUAGGCGUCUCAGGGAUACUGGCAGACUAGGGACCGGGAGAGGUGAGAGGUACUCCAGGGGUAGGAGUGAAAUCCUGUAAUCCUUGGGGGACCACCUGUGGCGAAGGCGUCUCACCAGAACGGCUCCAACAGUGAGGGACGAAAGCUGGGGGAGCAAACCGGAUUAAAUACCCGGGUAGUCCCAGCCGUAAACGAUGCGCGUUAGGUGUAUCGGUGACCACGAGUCACCGAGGUGCCGAAGAGAAAUCGUGAAACGUGCCGCCUGGGAAGUACGGUCGCAAGGCUGAAACUUAAAGGAAUUGGCGGGGGAGCACCACAACAGGUGGAGCCUGCGGUUUAAUCGGACUCAACGCCGGAAAUCUCACCGGAUAAGACAGCUGGAUGAUAGUCGGGCUGAAGACUCUACUUGACUAGCUGAGAGGAGGUGCAUGGCCGUCGUCAGUUCGUAUG